RNAcentral lists this ribosomal RNA (253 nucleotides) under uncultured bacterium. RNAcentral's name for it is "partial 16S ribosomal RNA". It matches the Rfam family "Bacterial small subunit ribosomal RNA", at positions 524 to 776 of the family's 1533-position model. The record is from RNAcentral.
GACGGAGGGGGCUAGCGUUGUUCGGAAUUACUGGGCGUAAAGGGCGCGUAGGCGGAUUAGUAAGUUGGGAGUGAAAGCCCGGGGCUUAACCUCGGAACUGCUUUCAAAACUGCUAGUCUAGAGUAAAGUAGGGGGUGAUGGAAUUCCUAGUGUAGAGGUGAAAUUCUUAGAUAUUAGGAGGAACACCGGUGGCGAAGGCGGUCACCUGGACUUUAACUGACGCUGAGGCGCGAAAGCGUGGGGAGCAAACAGG